AAUAGAAGUGUUUCAGGAAGCAACAAUGGAAGCAAUGGCCAAAAUGGGGGCAGCACAGCAGUUAAUGCUGGAGGAAAAAACAUGGAAAGCGACAAUGGACUCCCUGGGAAUAGUGGCAGCGGCGAUGCUAGUGGAAGUAGAAGUGCCUACAGAGUAGAUCAAAACAAGACUUCUCAAAGGGAAGCAGCCUUAACUAAAUUUCGCCAAAAGAGAAAAGAAAGAAAGGAGAGGUGCUUUCAUGAAAAGGUAACAGUCCAUAGAGUACUUAAGUAAGUGAUUUAAUAUAUAUUGCUAUGAUGUUGUAGAAACUGGAAAUUAUAUGUUGUAGACUAUAUAUACUUCUUUUUCCCAGUGGUUGACCUCUGUAAACAUAAUUCUCGAGAAAAUUUCAACAAAAGAAAUUGAAUAUAACAAUGGGAGAAUUCCUAAAACCCCUGUUGCCUAACUAUUUUUCACCAUCUCACCCCUCAAAUAUAUCCAACCUUCUGGUGAUGAUACUAUAGUCUUUCCCAUCUCUAUUCUCUCCACCUAGCAGUUCUUGCUCUAUAUGAAAUAGGAAGAAGAUUAGGAGAAAUCUCCCUUGUGUGUCUUUGCAUACACAUUUAUGAUAGAAGAAAUAUGGGCUAAGCCCAAAUACAAAUGAAUAUGUAAGAAUAAAAUAAAAUAAAAUAAGAACAAUGUUUCCCUAAUAAAUAUAUAGGUACUAUGUUUCUCUAAUUAACAUAAACAUAAUAUAAACUAAAUAUAAUAUCUCUAACACUCUUCCUGAAGUUGGAGCAUAUAAAUCAUAUGUUCGAAGCUUGUUACAAAGAUAGUCAAUUCUAGGUCCUCGCAAGGACUUAGUGAAUAUGUCUGCCAACUGGUUGCUUGAGUUAACGAACUCAGUUUUGAUAUCUNCAGAUAUGAUCUUUUCUCUAAUAAAAUGGCAAUCAACUUCAAUGUGCUUGGUUCUCUCNUGNAAGACAGGGUUAGAGCUAAUAUGAAGAGCAGCUUGAUUAUCACAUAUAAGUGUCAUGUGAGUGAUAUCUCCAAAUUUCAAUUCACUAAGUAAUUGUUUAAGCCACACAAGUUCACAAGUAGCUGAUGCCAUAGCUUUAUAUUCUGCUUCUGCACUGGACCUAGCCACAACACUUUGCUUCUUUUCCAAGAUAUCAGGUUGCCACCAAUAGAGACACAAUAUCUAGUAGUAGACUUCCUAUCAGAAGGGGAACCAGCCCAAUCAGCAUCUGAAUAGCAAACGAUUUUUGUAUCGUUGUUGUUAGAGAUAUUAUAUUUAGUUUAUAUUGUGUUUAUGUUAAUUAGGGAAAUAUAGUCCCUGUAUGUUUAUUAGGGAAACAUUGUUCUUAUUUUAUUUUAUUUUAUUCUUACAUAUUCAUUUGUAUUUGGGCUUAGCCCAUAUUUCUUCUAUUAUAAAUAGAGAACCCUAUGUGUGUAUUUAACACAAGGGAUUAAUUCCAAUAUAUAAUUUUCACUAUAUUUAACAGUUGUUAGGACCAUAUAGCAAAUCUUUUCCAGGUGAUCCUUUAAUAUACUUCAGUAUGCGAACAACUACAUCUCAAUGGUCUUCACAUGGGGACUUAAGGAAUUGACUCACCACACUAACUGCGAAGGAAAUGUCAGGACCCGUAACAGUAAGAUAGUUCAAUUUACCAACUAAUCUUCUGUAACGUUCAGGAUUUGAGAAAGGCUCCCCUUAAUUUGGUAGGAGCUUGAUGUUAGGAUCCAUAGGUGUCUCAACAGACUUGCAGUUCAUUAACCCUGUUUACUCCAAGAUGUUUAACGCAUACUUCCUCUGAGAUAUGACAAUACCAUCAUUGGAUUGUGCUACUUCAAUACCCAAAAAGUACCGGAGUUUGCCAAGAUCUUUGGUUUGAAAAUGGUGACAAAGGUGUUGUUUCAUCUGAGAGAUGCCAAGGUAGUUGCUUCCUGUGAGAACAUUGUCAUCGACAUACACUAUUAAGUAGAUACAUCCAGCACUUGAGUGGUGAUAGAACACUGAAUGAUCCGCUUCACUGCGAGACAUACCAAAUUGUUGAACAACACAGCUGAAUUUACCAAACCAGGCCCGAGGAGACUGUUUUAGGCCAUAUAGGGAUUUGCGAAGAUGACAUACUAAUCCAGAUGACUCCCCCUGAGCAACAAAGCCGGGUGGUUGCUCCAUAUAAAUUUCUUCGUGCAAAUCAGCAUUAAGGAAAACAUUUUUGACAUCAAGUUGGUAAAAAAGCCAUUGUCGAAGAGCGGCCAUGGCAAUGAAUAGGCGAACCGAGGUCAUUUUUGCCACUGGAGAAAAGGUAUGACGAUAAUCCAAACCAAAAAUCUGUGUGUAGCCUUUGGCAACCAGUCAAGCCUUCAAACGAUCAAUUGUACCAUCAAGGCCAACUUUGAUAGCAUACACCCACCUGCAACCAACAACAGACUUUCCAGAUGGUAAUUGGACAAGCUCCCAAGUUCCACUUUUCUGUAAAGCACUUAAUUCAUCCAGCAUGGCUUGACGACAACCAGGAUGAGUUAAGGCAUCACCCACAGAUUUGGGAAUUGACACAGAAGAAAUGGAUGAGAGACAUGUGUAAAAAGAUGGAGAUAAUCUGUGGUAACUAAGAACAGUAUAAUGGGGGGAAGGGUUACGAGUGGAGCGUAUACCUUUACGGAGUGCAAUGGGCAGGUCAGACUCAUUUGCUGGAGCCGGAGGAGACACAGGAGGCGACACUGGAAGUGAGUCAUGAGACGGCACAGGAUUGCAGCGAUUAUAAACCUGAAGGGGUGGAGUUGAAGGACGAUCCUGUGGGGAAUGAGAGUCUAAAGAAAGAAAAUGAUCACAGAAAAAAAAAGGAAUAUCAACAGUAGCAGGUGGAGGUACAAAUCGAGAAGAUAAAUGUGAAAAGUAAAACGAAGAUUCAUCAAAAGUGACAUAAGCCGAGAUGAAAUGACGAUUGAGGGAAGGGGAAAAACACUUAUAGCCCUUUUGUGACCGCGGAAAUCCUAAGAAGACACAUUUGUGAGAUCGAGGAGAUAACUUAUCAAGACCAGGACUAAAAUCAUGAACAAAACAUGUAGACACAAAAACUCUAAGAGGUAAUGGAUGUAAAGGGUCUUGAGGAAAUAAGAUAGAAUGAGGGAUUUUGUUAUCUAGGACAGAAGACGACAUGCGGUUUAUGAGAUAACAUGCAGUGAGAACUGCAUCACCCCAAAAACGUGAGGGUACUUGACCAUGGAUUAGAAGUGUACGAGUUGUUUCAAUAAGGUGUCUAUUCUUGCGCUCAGCCACCCCAUUUUGUUGAGGGGUAUAGGCAUAUGAGGUUUGGUGACGAUGAGAAGCCAUAAAAUGUUUAAAUGGUUGAGAAAGGUAUUCACGGCCAUUAUCACUGUGUAACGUGCGAAUAGAAACCCCAAACUGAGUUUUUAUUUCAUGGAAAAAAGUUUGGAAAAUAGAAAACAACUCAGAACGAUUCUUCAUUAGAAACAACCAAGUACACCUAGAAUAGUCAUCAAUAAAGGUAACAAAAUACUGAAACCCUAAAGUUGACUUAACAGGACUAGGUCUCCAAAUAUCAGAAUGAACCAAUGAAAAGGGGGAUGACGCUUGUUGUGAAACACUACGAGGAAAGGAACUAUGAGUAUGUUUACCUAAUUGACAAGACUCACACAACAAACUUGAUAAUUUUGACAAACUAGGAACAAGUUGCUGCAGUUUGGCAAGUCUGGGAUGACCUAAUUGCGCAUGAAGAUGGGAUGGUGACUCCAUGAUUACGCAGUUUGGCAAGACUGGGAUGACCUAAUUGCGCAUGAAGAAGGGAUGGUGACUCCAUGAUUACGCCAACAUGUGGAGAAGGGCGGAGAUGAUAUAGGCCAUGAGACUCACGUCCUAUGCCAAUCAUGUGUUUUGAACUCCGGUCCUGCAACCAAACAGAGUCUUUGGUAAAUGUAAUAAUACAAUUAAGGGAACGAGUUAGACGACUGACGGAUAAGUUAAAAGGAGACCCAGGGACAUAAAGUACAUGAUCAAUGGACAUGGACGGAAAAAUAUGAACAGUACCAAUACCAUGAGAUGAGACUUAUACCCAUUAACCAUUGUUACCGAGGAUAAAUUAUCCGGAUAUGACAAGGAAGAAAACAAGGACUUGUUACCAAUGAUAUGAUCGGUGGCACCUGAGUCAAGGACCCAAGAUCCGAGAGAGUGAGUCAGACCAACAAAAGGAGUACCUGUGAGUGUAACAGAAGCAGAUGUAGUGGAACUAGAGUGCUGACAGUCCUCAUACCAUCUGAGAAAUUCCUGAAAGAGUGUAGGGUUGUCUAUGCUAUUUGAUGAAGUAGGAUGGUCUGACUGGCGAGACAGACUCCGAUCAUCACGUUGGAUAGCUAUGGAGAGGGAGAAAGCCUAAAAAUUCAACGUGCUCCAAUUGGCGCAACGACCACAAAUCCAGAAAGAGGACGAGGAGGCGAUUCAGAUGGAGUGGUCGCCGGUCGAUUCUGGAACUCCGGCAACGGCUCCGGCGAAACUCCGGCGAGGCUCCGGCAACGGCUCCAGCUUCGGCUCUGGCGAAGGCGGCGCCGACGGCGGCUGCGGAGGCUGCGGAGGCUGUGGAGGCUGCGACCGUGGAAGAGGCCGGAUCAGAACCUAAGCUCUAGAUACCAUAUGAAAUAGGAAGAAGAUUAGGAGAAAUCUCCCUUGUGUGUCUUUGCAUACACAUAGGGUUCUUUAUUUAUAAUCGAAGAAAUAUGGGCUAAGCCCAAAUACAAAUGAAUAUGUAAGAAUAAAAUAAAAUAAAAUAAGAACAAUGUUUCUCUAAUAAACAUAUAGGUACUAUGUUUUCCUAAUUAACAUAAACACAAUAUAAACUAAAUAUAAUAUCUCUAACACUCUAAACAAUAUUCUUUAGCUUUUCUGUGCUGUGACAUGUAAAGACAGUGGCACUCCCUUCAAGGGACAGUCAUGUCCUAGCAAGAUGUUGUCAUGAGUGAAACAGCUAGCUGCCAGUAUGAAUUUUGGUCAAAAUGUGCUGCUUCUGUGACCCAACGAUCUUUGGAGGAGUGGUAGGGUGUUGAAACACUCUAAAUGGGUAUGGAGGUGACUUGCUAACUUGGACAUGAAUUUGUACUUUUGAGCAGUUUUGUAUGAUCCCGCAUGAGUUUAUCUUAGUAUUGAGAUUUUAUUCCAAAACCAUUUCAGCUCAAUUUGCUUGUGUGAGCACGAAAACUGAGCUUACAAAUUAACACUAUUGUUUAAUAAUCUUGCCCUAAACAUUUUCUCCUUGGCAAAGGGUAAAGUCACCUCAGCUGAUGAUGUUAGAGGCCCUUUUCCAUUUUGAAGCCAAGAAAUUUCUUACACCCCCUCCAAAUAGAACACUUUUUUUUUUUUUUUUUUUCUGCACAUAAGACACCUUCAAUUGUAAUUUAACAUCCUCCUAUCCUUAAAGCAUUUGAGGAAAAUAUGAUGUAUAUUUUCUGAUUUGGGAAAUAUACAAAAAAAGGUAUAAAUAGAAUACAAGGGAAUAAUUCUUUAUACUAAUCUAUCCCUGAAAACCAGGAAAUAAUUCUCCCAAUAAAUGCUCUACCUAUAUUAGGAAAUAAAACUAAUCAUAUUUACAUUAAGGUUUUAUUAUGGGCUGUACAAAUCAGAAUUGAACGAUUCUGAUUGAUAUCUGCUGAUCUCCAACGCUCCCCCCAAUCUGGGGUGGUAGAUUUCUAUCAUACUCACAGUGGAUCUAAUGUUUUCAUGUGUUCCUUGGAAGAGCCUUUGUCAGGAUGUCUGCUGUUUGUCUGAAUGAUGAAACAUGGUCAACACUUAUAAUAUCAUGGUCAGCUUUUCCUUUAAUGAAGUGUAAGACAAUCUCCACAUGAUUUGCAAAUCAUGGUGGACUGGGAUCUUUGCAAUGGUUAUAGUAGCUUUGCUGUCACAUAAUAGCAUAAUUCAUAGGAAUUCUGAUUUCAUCCAGCAUCCUCUUAAGCCAGAUUCCUAAACAGAUAAGCCUUAACUUUGAAUUUUGGUGCUCACUACUCCUUGUCACCAUCAAUUGCUUCUUGCUUUUCCAAGUCACGGAGUUUCCCCACACAAGAGAGGGUCAUCCUGCCCAAUCUGAGUCAGUAUAGACUUCAAUGCCUCUGUUUGAGUUCUUCUUGAAGUAGAGCCAUUGACCUGGUGUGCCUUUGAGGUAUUGGAGGAUUCUGUUUGCUGUUUUUUCAUGUGGGCUUCAUUUGGGUUAAAUGUAUAGCAACUAGCCAAGCUCACAACAUACUAGGUCUAGUAUGAGUUAGGUAGUGAUGAGUCCGUUCCGCGACAGAUCAGCGAGGAAACAUCAAGUCUGACAUAGUUCGAGCUGAUAAUCCAAGAAGCAGUGGAAAGCACGAUUUGGAAGUCGAAGAUGCAGCGGAAGACUGAAGACGAAGGCUAACCCUAGGUUUGGAGAUUUAAUCGGUGGAUAUUCUAGGGUUUUGAUGCAGAAGAGGUUUAAUCGGUGGAUGAGUGAAAUAAUCGGUGGAAAGGGGAGAUUGAUCGGAGGAAAAGCUUUUAAUCGAAGCAAAGGAAGAUUUAAACAGUGGAAGUGUCUAGAAUCCGAUUUCAAUCGGUAAAAGAGAUCGUGGUGAGAUUCUAAUCGAUGGAAUGGUGACAAACCUGAUAGAAGAGGCUGUCCUGGGCUUGGAUUCGUGACGGAGUUGAGAUUUGGUGAUGGCAAAGCCAACAAUGGAGACCGUUGGGGAGAGAGGAAGCAAAAUAGGGUUCGGCGUGAAAGGAUGAAAUGAAAAAAGGAAGUGACGCUGUAUUGAGGGAACUCGCGAGGCAAUACGCUCGCAUGGCAGAGCUGAUGACGCAGCGAGAGAUGACGCAUGCCAAACAGUGGAGUGGUGAGAUGGAUGCUAUAGAGGAGUGAGAAAUCUGAUUAAGGAAAUGAGAGAAAUGGUAGUAUGAGAUGGAAGGUGGCUAGAGGAGAUCCUUUGGGAUUCUCUAGCCUUGACUUUCAAGGUAGAGCAGAAUUGCUCUGGAGUAAUCUCUAUAGAAUGACAAUUCAUUUAUGCUCAAAAGUGAUUGCAAGAUGUGUUGGCAUGUCUAUAUAUAGGAUUAAAAGUCCCAAAUGCCUAACACAUGUUAUACAUGUCUAAUAAAAAUAAAAGAAAUGCUAAACCAAAAUAAUUGGGCUUGGGUCAAGUCAUCAGGUAGAUUUGCCUCCCAACUAGGUUUUGAUAUCUAUCUUAAUCAGCUGGUGGACUUUCCACUUCUAUGGGAGUAUUGGCUGCCUUGCACCCAAGCAUGUUGGUUUCUUGAAGUAAUUCCAGUUUGUAUUUCCAUUUUGAUACAUAAAUAACAUUUUUUGUCCAAGCAAUUGCCAUCCCCAUAAAAUAUUUGAGCUGAUCCAAGUCCUUGACUUCAAAUUCCCUUUAGAUGCUUGAUCUGAUAAUAUUGUUUUUUGUGAUAGCUACAUCAACAUAAACAAUUGUUAGAAAUAUUAUAUUUAGUUUAUAUUUAUCUCUUAUCUUUAGUUAGUUAGUUUAUAUUUCUUAUUUAGUUUGUUUGUAUUUCUUAUUUGUAUUUUGGGCUUAGCCCAUAUUUCUUCUAUUAUAAAUAGAGAACUCUGUGUGUAUUUAACACAAGGGAGAUUUCCCCUCAUCUCUUUCACUAUUUCAUAUGGUAUCAGAGCCUGGUUCUCUGAUUCUUUAGCCGUUGUCUUCGCUGUCUGCCGGCGGCCGGCAGCCAUGGCCUCCGGCAGCCCCUACUAAAAGUCUUUCGACCUAUGUCAUUCUGCUGCAUCCAAGAAAGGCCACUGCCUCCGCUGUGCAUCGCCGCUACUCGCCAUCGGUCAUCAUCCUUCGCCGUCGUCCGCUGCCGUACACCGUCGCAGUUCUGACCGGUGACCAGCGGAUCUGGACCACCUCUUUGAGCGACGGCCAACCACACUAGUUCCGAUGGCUACCUCCCAUUCACGCGCUGCCACGAGCGCCAAAUCUGUCCGCCUCCGGUCAUCGUCCGCCGCCGACCACCGUCUCAUUUCGCUCAACGUGCCUCCACGUGCCGUCUUUCUCCUACAGAUCUCGGACACGUACUGUUCACGCGCCGCUGUCCCGGUGUCGAAAUCACACCGUGCCUCUGCCUGUCUUCUUGCCAGAGCUUCCUCUCUUCGGUAUGACCCUCUAAAGCAGCCAUUGCUGCCAUUGUCAUUGUCUUCAGCAUCUUCGUCUUCUCGCUGCACACUUUCGGAUUGCGGAAUCUUCCUCUCGUAUCUGUGUUCUGGUGUAUGCCGCCACGAAUGGGUUCUAAUUCCCUUUUCUCGUGCUGCAUCGAUUGGACCUUCUUGCCAUCUGCUGCUUGUGCCGCCACUGCAAUCAGUCACUGCUGUCACAAUCUGUUGCCAGUCCUACCUCUACUACUUCCGCUAUCUUAUCUUUUCUGAAAGGUCUUCAAGGAUAGUUAGUGGUUAACACCAAGAAAUUUCAACACUAAAAUUAUGGGUUGAAACAAUUUCACCAACCAUUUGUCAAAUCUGUCAGAUUUGUUUUUGGGUGCUUUGAUGAAUAAGAGCUCAUUAUGAUCUGUCAUCGGCGCGCCGUCAUUUCCGCCGUUCGUUGUGAGGGGGAGUAUGAACCAGGUUUUAGGCUUUCAGACUCCACUAGUCAAUGAUGACAGUCCUUGCAGUUUUGUCGCUUUUAGCCACUACAGGCCCCAUCAGUCAGUGAUGACAUUCCCUGUAGUUUUGUUGCUUUUAGCCACUACAGGCCCCAUUAGUGAGUGAUGACAUUCCCUGUAGUUUUGUCGCUUUUAGCCACUUCAGGUCCCNUCAGUCAGUGAUGGCAAUCCCUGUAGUUUUGAUGCAAGCCCCAUCCUUACUUGAUGGCAAUCCAGUCCCUGAAGUUUGUCAUUGUUCUCCUUUGUCAAAGUCAUCCCACUUGAAGUUUCAUGGUGCUAUUUGAAGUUUCAUGGUGCUGUUAGUUGUUCGUCGACAUGUGAUUGCGCAUUUGUUUGCCACACACUCUUGAAGACAGAUCAUAUAUUUCAAAUUGAGUUUAUUUAUUCCAAGCUUGGUCCAUACAAUCUGUAUGCUCCAGCUUGAGGAGGAGUGUUAGAAAUAUUAUAUUUAGUUUAUAUUUAUCUCUUAUCUUUAGUUAGUUUAUAUUUCUUAUUUAGUUUGUUUAUAUUUCUUAUUUGUAUUUUGGGCUUAGCCCAUAUUUCUUCUAUUAUAAAUAGAGAACCCUAUGUGUGUAUUUAACACAAGGGAGAUUUCCCUUCAUCUCUUUCACUAUUUCAUAACAAUGAACAAGGCUACCUUCCUUUCCAUGGAGUGUUUGAACCUGUCUUCCUUGACAACUCAAGUCAAUCCAUUGAACCAUGCUCUCAGUGAUCCGCUGUCUUUGAAACUAUCAAAUUAAUACUACUUUUCAAGGCAACUUCAGUAUUGCCAAGUCAGUAGUCAACAAAGUAGAUAGGGUUAAAGUAACCCUUAGUCGUCUUCCAACAAAUAAGGAAUUGCUUUUCAAUAUUUGACUCUUAUGAAUGCUAUGCAAUGCUCAAGAAUAAAAGUGAGAAACUAUGCUAAUGGAAUUAAUGUUUGAAGAGUGUUUGAAGAAUAAAAGAGGAAACUUAAAAACAAUUAUGAUGAAAUAGGCUAAUUCCACUUCUUUUCCAAGAUAGAUUUAUCAUCGGUUAUCCACAUAUCAUUGUUCAAUUGAUUAUUGUUUAAGUUCCAAAUUAAUUAAAGUACAUUCUUAAUUAAUUUGAGGGCGAUCAUGCAGUUAAUCAAAGUAGAUUCUCAAUCAAAUGCAAGACUUUUCUCGAUUAUUCACAAUGAAUUCAAUAAAAGUAUUUUCUCAAUCAAAUUCUCUUGUGUUUAAUCAUAUCUAUUCUUUAAUUUCCUAACCAAUUAAAAGCUAAUUAAUCAAAGUAAAUUCCUAAUUAAUUAUAAUUGAAAUUAUCACAACCAAUCAAAGUACAUUUUCAAUUGAUAGUAAAAACUCGUUUAAUCAUAUGAAAGUUCCUAAAUUCAAUCAAAGUAGAUUCUCAAUCAAACCUAGAAACCUUUGAACUCAUGAUUAAUAUGCAUGUAGACUCAAACACCUUAUGAUGCAAAAGUCAUUGCUUUUAAUAUGAUUGAGAGAUGAAAGACAUAGAAGAAGAAUAAUUCAAAUCAAUAAUCAAAAGAAACAAUUGUAUUAAUUCAACUUAAUCUCAGAAUUCAUAAUGAAAUUACAGUGGAAUAGUCCUAAAAGCUUAGCCCUCCAUAAACAAAGUGAAACACAUGGUGAAAUAGAAGUGAGAGGAGUGGUGGAUGAUGGCUUCCAGUGGAGGAGUCUUAGUGAAUGAAUUAUGAUUUCUGCCUCCCCUAGGUCUCUUUAUAUAGGCUUGAUUGGGCUUGGAUUCUGAAUCUUAUGUUGAUAAAAUCUUUUAUCUUAUAUCUAAUAUCUUCCAAAUAUUCAACAGAUUAAAUCAGAUUUUGAGAAUAUUUGAUAAUAUAUUCAAAAAGAUUUAGCAUAUAUUAUCUUUUGAUAUUUAUUGAUAUUGUUAAAUAAGGUAAUUAUUUAACAAUAUCAACUAAAAUAUCUUAAAUAUAUUUUCUUCAAAUUAUCUUUUAAAAUAUCUAACAAAUUUAAACUUGUCCAAAAUUACAUUUCAACCCUUUUUAUUUUAUUCAAAAUUGCACAGAAGUCUAGAACUUUCCUCCAAUUUCACUUUAACCAUCUCUUUCUUUUCAAAAUUGCAUAGGAGUCCUGAGUUGACUAGAUUAGACUAGCUUUGACCAUUCAAUUUUAUGCUUUAAAUGAACAAGAUUCUAACUUCAGUUAUACAAAUAAAUAUUAGAACAUCCAAAAUAAUUUAUGUAACUAAGAAUCAUAUUUUAAGUAUCUUUAAUUCCCAAAGCUAAUAAAUUCAAUCGUCACAAAUUCACUUUAAAUCAAUCAUUUUAGCACAAGAAUCUUAUAAAAAAUUUGAAUUUUAAAACAUAAAUAUGGAUAUAAAUAUGCACUCAUUAGUUAUAUAGAGAUUUUCUGAGCUUGCACACCGUGCUUGAGGUUUUGGAUGAUUCAAGUCCUAGGGGAAUUUUGCAAAAAGACUACUAGUUCACUGUUUAGGAAGACAUUCUUGAUGUCUAGUUGAUAAUGUGGCCAAUCUAAAUUUACAGUUAAAGAGAGUAUGACCAAAAUUGAAUUAAGUUUGGCCACUUAUGCCAAAGUCUCUUCGUAGUCCAUAAACCCUUUUGUGAUUUACCAUGUGCCACUUUUGAUCAAGGCCUAGACAUCUCCUGUUGCGGUUGCCCAUUCCAGCUGUUGGAGUGCCACUCUAACAUUCCUUGGGAUAUGUGUGCUGUCAAGGGAUGCCACAAAAGACCUAUACCUCGUGACAAUUUUCUGUAGGACACAUUUCUCAAUCGGGAUUGUCAACGUCAUCAUUAGGUUCAGGACUAGAAACGAUGUUACCUAAGGAAAACUCAGUUUUUGAAGCCUGGUUGGAUUCAUGACUUUGCCUUGGAGUUGUGCUACACUCUUCUCCCUUCCUUCUCUUCUUGAAGUAUGUUGUCCAGUUGUCUUCUCAUGUAGCAGGGCCAUGAUUUCGGUGAGAUGCAAUCCUCUCUCUAGCUUUAGUUGAUUUAGUUUCUAGUGCAUUUAAUGUGGUUUGUAGUUGGCUUUGCUACAAGUGCAGUCUCAUCUGUCAUUGCAUUUGCUACUGCAGUUUCCUCUCUGCAUUUGCUAUUGCAGGUGCAGUCUUAGUUGGCUCUGCAUUAUUAGGCAAAUUCGGCUAGGUCAAAUCCCAGAAGUUGGGAUUCUACCACUUUACUUGGACAACUCUUCUCCCUCUGAAUGCCAACUUACGGUUAAUAAGGCUGAUUUCUAUAAAACGUGUGGUAAAAUUUCUUGGUUUGAGGUGAAUAGAAGUUCUACCCCUUUUGGUGGGGGGACUAGCCGAGGAAUAUGCCACUGUCAGCAACUUAGCCGUGCUUUGAAAUUGUGUUUCCACCGUAGUACGAAACAAAUUAAAUAUUCUACCAACUUCUGAUUUCUCCUUCAUUAGGAAAACCCAAAGGACACGUGUGUGAUCGUCAAUGAGGGUGACAAACCAUCUUGAUCUAGUGACAUUAUUUGCCUGUGAUGGUCCCCGUAUAAUCCUAUGAAUAAGGGAGAAAGGGUGAGACAGUUUAUAGUAUUGAGGUGGGUAUGUUUGGACAAUUGCAUUAUUUCACAUUGAAACAACUCCUGAUUUUUAAUGAAUAAUGUUGAAAACAUUUUCUUUUGAAGUAUGUAAAGUUUAGGUGGCCACACGGAUAAUGCCACAUGGCACAAUUUUUACUAUUUGGAGGUACUGUUGCACAAUAGUUGGUCGUAGCCUUGGGUUCAACUUCUAAUGCUUUAGCUUGGAGGAGGUGAAGUCCAAUGUAACACCCCGCAAUUGAGUGUUACAUUACCCGUAUAAUUCAUUCCUAUCCCUUGUCUAAUGAAUCAUAGCCCUGCAGACUUGUCUACUGCAUUUUAGCCCAUCAGACAGGUCUGGCUAGGCGAGGAGGUAUAUGAUCAGUUAAAUUUUAGAUAUCGCGCAAGUAUAGGAAAUUUAACAUACACAUUUAAUCCAUUCCUUUAAUUAACAUUUAAAAGAGAUUUUACAAAACAUGAUUUGUUACAAAUAUUCUAGCUACACUACAAAGGCCUUUUGCUUCUGCUAUUGACGGCCAUCCUCAGCACCUGUUGUAUUAUCUGCUCACAUGUUCCAACAUGGUCAUUGCAACAAACAUCACAAACACGAAAUAAAAAGGAUAAGCUAACUAAAAGAAAAAUAAAUGUACAUACAUGUAUAUCACAUAAAAAAUUUCAAAUACAUUGUUCAACGCACGAGCAUACAUAUCACCAUGCAUAUAAGUUAUCACUCAUAAACUACGUCUACUCUCUGACACCACCUUUCAAAGCAUAGUAUUAAGCUGGAAAGGAUCAUACCUCCUUUUGUUCAUCAGACCGAGCUCAAAACUACCUUAAUAAGGUAAUAUCUGAUGGAUACCAUUCAUCGUCUUGUGGCCGUUUUCACUCGUAAGUCCGUUAGUUCCUCUAAAAUCAUUUUCCCUUAAAAGGGGAAACCUCUACAAGGCAUUUACACUUCCAGGAAACACCUCAUCUGACUUUUCUAGCAAGGUGUACCACUUUGUGAAGCAUCAUCUGGUACCUUUAUUAAAUACUUGAAUUCAACAAACUCAGAGAACCAAUUGUCUGAUAUGUGCCCUUGUGAAUCUAUACAGAAGAUUCCAACUGGACCUCAAGAUAAUCAAAAAGGUAAUCUAGAUGUGAAGCUACGCCUUCUCAGAGCUUAAGAGAAAGGAGAUGAUUACUUAAUUAAGCAAAUAAAAUGGAGACAAAAACCAUAAUGUAGAUUGCGUGAAUACAAAUGGAUGACAAACAAAUAAGAACUUGGAAAGAUAAAGGAAAACAAAAGAUGAAAAGAAUAAGAGAGGGAGAAGAAGGGGAUGGUGGUUUUCCACUUGGAGGAUGGACCAAUCCAAGUUGAGUGGUGGUUGUCGCCUCUUGAACCUUGGUUCAAGAUAAGACAAGGGAGUGCAAGAACAUGAAAGAGCACUCUCACAGCUCUUACACAUGAUGGCUGAAGCAAAAUCACGCUGUAAUCAAAAUGUUCAAUCCUUUACAAGUGAGGAAGGGGUCUCCUUAUAUAGGCUUCGGAAGGACCUCAUAGCAAUUACACAAAUGGAUUCUAGAAACUAGGGCAACACAAAAUUAGGGCUACCUAGGAUGGCCUAGGUGAUGACACCUUGCACCCCAAGGGUGAUGCCAGGUCCUUAACCCUCUAGGAUGUCAACCAAGCCUCCUCCAAGCUCUCCAUGUACCAUUCCAAAGUUGGGUCAAGAUCAACUCUUCCUCUUCUCCAAAAACAAGGGUGCCUUCUUCAAACUAAGGUGUGUUGGAAGCACUUCGAAAAGCUUAGGUCAUGUGCCCCACUCUAUACAUCCCUUCAAAGGAGGUGCUCCAAGCAAUUCCAAAACGCAACAAAAACAUGAGACAAAGGAAACUAAGAAGGUGGACAAAGCUGGUUCCCUGUUGCUGUCAUUGUUGGCCUUCAAUGGAUGCAGUAUGUCCAAUUGCUGCCAAUGUUUACUGAGUGUAUUAAAAUACUCUGACUGAGAAAUCACCUUAUUUACUGAGUGUAUUAAAAUACUGCCAAUGUUAGAAAUAUUGUUUUAUAUUAAUUAGGGAAACAUAGACUUUUGAUAUUGGUAGAUAUUGUUGAUAUUGUUUUUUAACAAUAUUUUCUAUUUACCAUAUUUAUGUUUGGUUGCCAUAUGUACUUGUAUCAUUCUUCAUUAUAAAUAUAUUACCCUAUGUUUGUUUUAGACACAAGGGAGAUUAAUCCUAUACUUAGUUUUACUAUAUUCAAUACUCUUAAUCUCAAAUACUGAAGACAUAUUGUCCACAUUUGAGUAGGUUUAUUUCACUACAUCCCACAUCUCCUUGGCAGGGCCAUAGUACAUGAAAUUUUCCCCAAUUUCAUUGGUCAUGAUGUCGAGCAACCAUAACAUGACCAAACUGUUUCCUAGUUGUCAUUUGUUGAGGUGGGGUCAUCCUUUUCUGGACACUUGGAGUCUCCUGUGAUGUAACCUUCCUUCCCUUUUUCUUAAAGUAAGACCUUAACUGAUCGCACCCAUUGGGGGCAGUUCUUGAUAUUCAAUUUGUCACCAAUGAUAGGAAGAGCAGCCCCUUUGACUGAACUGGAGACCAAACCUUCUGCCUUGUUCUCUCCCAUGGUUGGUAGUGCUAGGUUAGGGAUGGUUCAGAUCUGAUACCUUGUGGAAAAUACGAUGUAUACUUUCUGAUUUGGGAAAAAUACAAAAAAAGUAUAAAUAGAAUAAAGGGAAUAAAUCUGCACACUAAUCUAUCCCUAAAAAUGAGGAAAAUAAUUCUCCCUAUAAAUGCUCUACCUAAAUAAGGAAUUAAAACUGAUCUUAUUUACAUUAAAUUUUAUUAUCAGCUGUACAAAUCAGAAUUGAAUUAUUCUGAUUGAUAUGUGCUGAUCUCCAACAGAUUCUGAUUGAUAUACGCUGAUCUCCAACAGCAUUCAUAGUUUUUCUCUUUCUGAUUUGAUGAUUGGGGCUCUUGUAAUUCGCCCACUAGAUGCUUUUCCACAAAAAGCACGUGUCACACUCUUCCUGUUGCUUUUGACCUUUAAGAUAUUCCACUUCAUUGCAUUGUCAAUAUUUUCACUAGUAGCUUUAACAUUGCAGUUGAAGAUGCCAUUGACGUGCUAGCAGUUGAGUUUGCUAUUUUUCACGUGGAAUCUCUUUAUUGUCGGUGUUUUGAUAGGAGUAAAAUGCCUUAGUUGUUUUGCUGGAUAGAAUACAAAAACGACCCAAAAUCUAGAAUAAAAAAAAAUUAUCGCUGCUCUCAAAAACAAGAAAAAGAAACACAGACAUAGGAAAAAACAAAAAGAGGACAGGACAGAGAAAAACAAAUUAAAAAGAGGAAUAAAAGGGAAAAUAAGUAAAUAAAAAAUAACAAAACAGAGAAACUAAUCAUAAAAAAUGCGUAAACAAAAAAAAGGGAAAGAGAGUAAAUAAAUAAAGAAUGGGUUUUUCUUUUUGUUUAAGAAAUUUUCAUAUGAUGGCAAAUGAUAAAUGUCGUUUGGGGUGUCAGCGUAAUGAUGCUUAACGUGGCUUUUAUAAGAAAAAUAGCAAAAUAUGAGGAAAAAGUAAGGAACAUAAAGAAAAUAAGAAACCUGUAAGAGAAAAAUGGAGUGUUGCCUAAUGGUCCAUUAGUUGGAAAAGAACUUGGUUGCUGGAGAAUAAAAUAGUGUGCAGAUGUGGGUUUUAGAAACUAGAGUGAAGGUUUUGGGUAUAGAAGAAUUGGCUUGCACGAGAGAAAAUAGUUUUAGAAACUUACCUAAAUAAGUAUGUUAAUUUUGAAAUUACCAUAACAAAAUAAGGGUAUUUUGGAGAUUCUGCGACUGCUCUGCCCACCAAUCAACAAUCUGUGUUAUGGCACACAACUGCUUGUCACGAUUGAUUAUUUUGGGCAACGGUUCUUUGCAUUAUCUAAAGCAGAUAGGCUUUAUAUUAACGCCUAACUUCAUUGUAAAGUCCUUUAUCUUUUCUCAAUGUUUUGUCAUAUCAUGCUAAACCAAUUUUUCUGCAAUGCUAAAGGGAGAGAGAAAAGGGGUAUAUAAGUAGGGAAGGUACCCAAAUGAAAAAGGGUUUGGGGGGUGUGGGCUUUUUUUGAAGUUUUGGAUGGUGAUUUUGAGUAGAGGCUGGCUCUUCUCAUCACCCAGGGGUUUGUUUUUACUUGCUUAGUGGCUAUUCCAUAUUUGGAAGGAGUUUAAUUCUAUCUGGAUUCAGUCACUGUUUGUUGAUUUCUCUAAUUCCAUUAUAUAGGGUAAUUUUCUUCUGAUUUACACAUGCUUCUACCAAUUUAACUAUCAACUUUUGUCUCAAAGCAACUUCAUUCAUUAUUAUUUUGUCAAGAAUGAUCUUCAUAACAAUUAAUAAAUCUUGAGCCAUACUUGAAAUUGUGCUGACCUUUCAAAUACAUUUGGCCUUUUCUCAAUGUCACCAAAAUUUCACCCAAGAAUACCUUGAAAUGGAUUUCGUACCAAAAAUUUACCCUGGGUAGUAUGCUUUCUGUCUACACUUCCAAGUUCUUAAACCAUUGAUCUAGUUAGAGGAAGGCAAUGUCGAAUUUAAUGAGGGUUUUCGGACAUGUAUACUUUGGACCGUAUUGAGUUGGAGAUUGACCUCGGGUCCUCCUUCAGACACUGUAGUAGCAAAAAAUAGGGCUUAAAGAAUGAAUAUUGAUGAUGGAUCCCUCUAAUGGCCACAAAUAGGACAAUAACCUAGCAAAACGUGGAGAGGUAAGGCCAAUGAGAGUAAAGGGGCCAAUUGUAUCAAGAACUGACUAUGGCAGGACAGCAUCUGAUCUUCAUGUGCCCCAGAAGCUCUGAAAAGUACACACAGGAGGGCAUGUCUGGUUACAAUCUAUGUGAUGAAGCCAGUUCUAUAGAUUUGAUGUGAAGUCUGGUUGCUGACCCGAGAAGGGUGG
This 16998-nucleotide long non-coding RNA is filed under the name Vigna radiata. RNAcentral describes it as "long non-coding RNA (VRAD_LNC011463)". Lineage: Eukaryota; Viridiplantae; Streptophyta; Magnoliopsida; Fabales; Fabaceae. The record is from RNAcentral.